RNAcentral lists this ribosomal RNA (1488 nucleotides) under Ligilactobacillus animalis. RNAcentral's name for it is "partial 16S ribosomal RNA". It matches the Rfam family "Bacterial small subunit ribosomal RNA". Lineage: Bacteria; Bacillati; Bacillota; Bacilli; Lactobacillales; Lactobacillaceae. The record is from RNAcentral.
UGGCGGCGUGCCUAAUACAUGCAAGUCGAACGAAACUUCUUUAUCACCGAGUGCUUGCACUCACCGAUAAAGAGUUGAGUGGCGAACGGGUGAGUAACACGUGGGCAACCUGCCCAAAAGAGGGGGAUAACACUUGGAAACAGGUGCUAAUACCGCAUAACCAUAGUUACCGCAUGGUAACUAUGUAAAAGGUGGCUAUGCUACCGCUUUUGGAUGGGCCCGCGGCGCAUUAGCUAGUUGGUGAGGUAAAGGCUUACCAAGGCAAUGAUGCGUAGCCGAACUGAGAGGUUGAUCGGCCACAUUGGGACUGAGACACGGCCCAAACUCCUACGGGAGGCAGCAGUAGGGAAUCUUCCACAAUGGGCGAAAGCCUGAUGGAGCAACGCCGCGUGGGUGAAGAAGGUCUUCGGAUCGUAAAACCCUGUUGUUAGAGAAGAAAGUGCGUGAGAGUAACUGUUCACGUUUCGACGGUAUCUAACCAGAAAGCCACGGCUAACUACGUGCCAGCAGCCGCGGUAAUACGUAGGUGGCAAGCGUUAUCCGGAUUUAUUGGGCGUAAAGGGAACGCAGGCGGUCUUUUAAGUCUGAUGUGAAAGCCUUCGGCUUACACCGGAGUAGUGCAUUGGAAACUGGGAGACUUGAGUGCAGAAGAGGAGAGUGGAACUCCAUGUGUAGCGGUGAAAUGCGUAGAUAUAUGGAAGAACACCAGUGGCGAAAGCGGCUCUCUGGUCUGUAACUGACGCUGAGGUUCGAAAGCGUGGGUAGCAAACAGGAUUAGAUACCCUGGUAGUCCACGCCGUAAACGAUGAAUGCUAAGUGUUGGAGGGUUUCCGCCCUUCAGUGCUGCAGCUAACGCAAUAAGCAUUCCGCCUGGGGAGUACGACCGCAAGGUUGAAACUCAAAGGAAUUGACGGGGGCCCGCACAAGCGGUGGAGCAUGUGGUUUAAUUCGAAGCAACGCGAAGAACCUUACCAGGUCUUGACAUCUUCUGACAAUCCUAGAGAUAGGACUUUCCCUUCGGGGACAGAAUGACAGGUGGUGCAUGGUUGUCGUCAGCUCGUGUCGUGAGAUGUUGGGUUAAGUCCCGCAACGAGCGCAACCCUUAUUGUUAGUUGCCAGCAUUAAGUUGGGCACUCUAGCAAGACUGCCGGUGACAAACCGGAGGAAGGUGGGGAUGACGUCAAAUCAUCAUGCCCCUUAUGACCUGGGCUACACACGUGCUACAAUGGACGGUACAACGAGUCGCAAGACCGCGAGGUUUAGCAAAUCUCUUAAAGCCGUUCUCAGUUCGGAUUGUAGGCUGCAACUCGCCUACAUGAAGUCGGAAUCGCUAGUAAUCGCGGAUCAGCAUGCCGCGGUGAAUACGUUCCCGGGCCUUGUACACACCGCCCGUCACACCAUGAGAGUUUGUAACACCCAAAGCCGGUGGGGUAACCUUUUGGAGCCAGCCGUCUAAGGUGGGACAGAUGAUUGGGGUGAAGUCGUAAC